UAGGUACCCCAGUANUCAACCGCGUGAGGGAUGACAGCCUGUGGGUUGUAAACCUCUUUUCUCAAGGAAGAAGUUCUGACGGUACUUGAGGAAUAAGCAUCGGCUAACUCUGUGCCAGCAGCCGCGGUAAUACAGAGGAUGCAAGCGUUAUCCGGAAUCACUGGGCAUAAAGCGUCUGUAGGUGGUUCGGUAAGUCUGCUGUUAAAGACUAGGGCCUAACCCUAGAAAAGCAGUGGAAACUGCCAAACUUGAGUGUGGUAGAGGUAGAGGGAAUUCCUAGUGUAGCGGUGAAAUGCGUAGAUAUUAGGAAGAACACCAAUGGCGAAAGCACUCUACUGGGCCACAACUGACACUGAGAGACGACAGCUAGGGGAGCAAAUGGGAUUAGAUACCCCAGUAGUCA
This 403-nucleotide ribosomal RNA is filed under the name uncultured alga. RNAcentral's name for it is "bacterial SSU rRNA". It matches the Rfam family "Bacterial small subunit ribosomal RNA", at positions 376 to 796 of the family's 1533-position model. The record is from RNAcentral.